Mercenaria mercenaria is the source of this 1913-nucleotide long non-coding RNA. RefSeq lists it as uncharacterized. The transcript is spliced from 3 exons. Lineage: Eukaryota; Metazoa; Mollusca; Bivalvia; Venerida; Veneridae. The record is from RefSeq and is a predicted model, not a curated record.
UUUCCCCACAGAUUUUGCAAGUAUAUCUUUUCUGGAAUAAAAAAAAAAGAAUGAUGAAGUACAAUUUCUUAGUAUUCUAACCCAUUCUGCAUUACAGUGUAUAAUCGUAUGUAUUUUACUUAUAGCAAUGUCAUUCUCUUUUUAUAGGUGCGAACACAGAAAAGACUUGUGAACUACAGACUGGUCGAUAACACAGGAUGGCUGUAGAUUGAAUGGUAAUUUUGCACAUACUUUAUAUUUUUCUGCAUAAUGUUGCAACUUCAAAUAGAUUUAUGAAACCUAAAAAAAAAAGGACAAGAUGUAAUUGUAAAUCAGUUUGUUACAUUAUCUGUACAACACAACCUUGCUAUGCUCUGCAUACAUAUGGUUUUAGUUUGUCAUGAUGUACUACACGAGGUUUCUGACCUAACCCUUGAAUACGGUACAAAUUUUUUUUUGUUAAAACUGUAUAGGGACCUUUCCAUGGUCUCGUGAAUUUACUGCUUAACUGACUUUCCUUUGUUGGUUAUAAUACCACACCUGAUCACCUACAUCAUACUGUUGAAAGUUAGUAGUAGGUCAUAUUACUUUUUCAUGACCUCACUAGAGACUUUAAGCUUGUUCCUAGCAUAUUCAUGUAUUUCUACUAUUCUACUUUCCGAGGCAUUUACAUAAUCAGAACCAUAUUUUAGUCUCGUUUCAGCAUUUUCUAAUUCAGGUUGUCCAAAGACAAGAUCAGUUGGGAGCCUUAUUUCAAUGCCAUAGAGCAUAGAUGCGGGUGUGUCACCAAUGGCUUCAUGUACAGAACUAGGAUGGGCAAUUAAACAUAAAGGUGUGCAGCAUUCUAGAUUGUUCUAAUCCAGUGUACCAUGCAGAGAAAUGUGUCAGAUAUAUGUUGCCUCAGUCCUGUCUGUGUCUUCAGUAAAACACCAACACCAUUUUCUCCACUGGUAUCCCAGACACCAAAGAGUAUUCGGGCCAAACACCAGAUAGAUAUUCCAGCCUGACACCAUCAGGGUUUUUGGGCUCAAUACCAAAUAGCUAUUCCAGCCCAAUUCCUAGAUAUUCCAGCUAAACACCUGGUUCAACAGCAAGACCAUCUUGAAGCCCAGCAACUACAGUGUGGAAAGCCUGUUGUUGGACCCAAUAUUGAAGCCAUGUCUGCAAACAUAGGUGUGCUGUAUAUGACCUUGACACGCCUUGCUGCAACCUUGACACUCUUUGCUGCAACCUUGACACCCCUUGCGGCGACCUUUACACUCCUGCAAAGUUGUUUUCCAGCAUGUAUCCAAACACAUGAAGGGCUUGCCGCUAACAAAGAACUAUGGUCUCAUACUGAUGCUUAUCCAUAUUUUGUUUACAUUAUGAGUUCAAUGUAUUUGAAUAUGCACAUGUUCAUUCAAAAGAGUGUGAUUUAAAUGAUUUAAUAAUGGGUCAGUAAGAAUCCUAUGUCAAAGAGUUUAUUAGUGGAUCUCCCUCACUUUCUUCUUUUUUUCCCUGUAAUUAUAUUGUAUUGUUGAAUUACAAUACAAUUUGGAUAUAUGAGUGAGUCGACACAAAAUUGUCCUAUAUAUAUGUUGUAUGUAAUAAAUUAAAUGGUUGUAUAAUAUUGAAUUGUUUAAGUACAUUUUUUGUACACAUUGUAAGGGGGAGUAUACUGGUUUCAGGUUGUCUGGCCGUCUAUCCGUAGACGCAAUCUUGUGCGCACCAUCUCUCCUUAUCCCCUUGACAGAAUUUAAUGAAACUUCACACAAGUGAUCAGUACAAACAGUAGUUGUGCAUGGGGCAUGUUAGGUUCUUUUAGAAAAACAAUUUGCAGAGUUAUGGGACUUUGUUUUUUUGUUACUAUACUAUAUACAUAGACACAAUCUUGUGCGCACCAUCUCUCCUCAUCCUCUUGACACAAUUUAAUGAAACUUCACACAAGUGAUCAG